CCCUUAGAUGUUCUGGGCCGCACGCGUGCUACACUGAGUGGAUCAGCGGGUCAGGUUGCGCGAAAGUGUUUCCUAAUCUUUAAACCCGCUCGUGAUGGGGAUUGACGGUUGCAAUUUUCCGUCAUGAACGAGGAAUACCUUGUAAGCGCGGGUCAUCAUCCCGCGCUGAAUACGUCCCUGCCCUUUGUACACACCGCCCGUCGCUCCUACCGAUUGAGUGGUCCGGUGAGGCUUUGGGAUCUGAGCGGAAAGAGCGUUUCGCUGUUUCUGCCCGGAAAACUCAGUCGAACCUUAUCAUUUAGAGGAAGGAGAAGUCGUAACA
Molecule: ribosomal RNA, 322 nt
Filed under: uncultured eukaryote
Lineage: Eukaryota
Description: partial 18S ribosomal RNA
Rfam family: Eukaryotic small subunit ribosomal RNA
Source: RNAcentral